This 450-nucleotide ribosomal RNA is filed under the name Deliochus sp. 160 DD-2019. RNAcentral describes it as "partial 16S large subunit ribosomal RNA". It matches the Rfam family "Bacterial large subunit ribosomal RNA", at positions 1831 to 2601 of the family's 2925-position model. The record is from RNAcentral. Lineage: Eukaryota; Metazoa; Arthropoda; Arachnida; Araneae; Araneidae.
UUCCUAUAGAUAUAAUUUUAGGUAUAACCUGCUCCAUGUUUAAAUAAAUAGCCGCAGAAUUUUUACUGUGCUAAGGUAGCAUAAUCACUAGUCUUUUAAUUAAAGACUUGCAUGAAUGGUUAAACAUUUAAAUUUCUUUAUUAAUUUUUAUUUAUCUAAAUUAUUUUAAUCAUAAAAAAAUGAUUAUAUUUCCAUUAGACGACAAGACCCUAUUGAACUUUACUUCAGUUUAGCUGGGGCAGCUAAUUAAUAAAUAUUUUAAUUAUUUAAAUUUACAUAAAUGACCCAAAAUAUUUGAUUAUUUGUUCAAUGUUACCAUAGGGAUAACAGCGUAAUUUCUUUUCAAAGCUCUGAUUUAAAAAGAAGUUUGCGACCUCGAUGUUGAAUUAAUUUAACCUAUUUAAGUAAAAGUAUAAAAGGUAGGUCUGUUCGACCUUUAAUAAAUUACAU